Molecule: ribosomal RNA, 1437 nt
Filed under: Campylobacter coli
Lineage: Bacteria; Pseudomonadati; Campylobacterota; Epsilonproteobacteria; Campylobacterales; Campylobacteraceae
Description: partial 23S ribosomal RNA
Rfam family: Bacterial large subunit ribosomal RNA
Source: RNAcentral
AAAAAAGGUAAGCUACUAAGAGCGAAUGGUGGAUGCCUUGACUGGUAAAGGCGAUGAAGGACGUACUAGACUGCGAUAAGCUACGGGGAGCUGUCAAGAAGCUUUGAUCCGUAGAUUUCCGAAUGGGGCAACCCAAUGUAUAGAGAUAUACAUUACCUAUAUAGGAGCGAACGAGGGGAAUUGAAACAUCUUAGUACCCUCAGGAAAAGAAAUCAAUAGAGAUUGCGUCAGUAGCGGCGAGCGAAAGCGCAAGAGGGCAAACCCAGUGCUUGCACUGGGGGUUGUAGGACUGCAAUGUGCAAGAGGUGAGUUUAGCAGAACAUUCUGGAAAGUAUAGCCAUAGAGGGUGAUAGUCCCGUAUGCGAAAAACAAACCUUAGCUAGCAGUAUCCUGAGUAGGGCGGGACACGAGAAAUCCUGUCUGAAGCUGGGUCGACCACGAUCCAACCCUAAAUACUAAUACCAGAUCGAUAGUGCACAAGUACCGUGAGGGAAAGGUGAAAAGAACUGAGGUGAUCAGAGUGAAAUAGAACCUGAAACCAUUUGCUUACAAUCAUUCAGAGCCCUAUGUAGCAAUACAGGGUGAUGGACUGCCUUUUGCAUAAUGAGCCUGCGAGUUGUGGUGUCUGGCAAGGUUAAGCAAACGCGAAGCCGUAGCGAAAGCGAGUCUGAAUAGGGCGCUUAGUCAGAUGCUGCAGACCCGAAACGAAGUGAUCUAUCCAUGAGCAAGUUGAAGCUAGUGUAAGAACUAGUGGAGGACUGAACCCAUAGGCGUUGAAAAGCCCCGGGAUGACUUGUGGAUAGGGGUGAAAGGCCAAUCAAACUUCGUGAUAGCUGGUUCUCUCCGAAAUAUAUUUAGGUAUAGCGUUGUGUCGUAAUAUAAGGGGGUAGAGCACUGAAUGGGCUAGGGCAUACACCAAUGUACCAAACCCUAUCAAACUCCGAAUACCUUAUAUGUAAUCACAGCAGUCAGGCGGCGAGUGAUAAAAUCCGUCGUCAAGAGGGAAACAACCCAGACUACCAGCUAAGGUCCCUAAAUCUUACUUAAGUGGAAAACGAUGUGAAGUUACUUAAACAACCAGGAGGUUGGCUUAGAAGCAGCCAUCCUUUAAAGAAAGCGUAAUAGCUCACUGGUCUAGUGAUUUUGCGCGGAAAAUAUAACGGGGCUAAAGUAAGUACCGAAGCUGUAGACUUGAUUUUAUCAAGUGGUAGGAGAGCGUUCUAUUUGCGUCGAAGGUAUACCGGUAAGGAGUGCUGGAGCGAAUAGAAGUGAGCAUGCAGGCAUGAGUAGCGAUAAUUAAUGUGAGAAUCAUUAACGCCGUAAACCCAAGGUUUCCUACGCGAUGCUCGUCAUCGUAGGGUUAGUCGGGUCCUAAGUCGAGUCCGAAAGGGGUAGACGAUGGCAAAUUGGUUAAUAUUCCAAUACCAACAUUAGUGU